UCUGCCUUCUAAUUUUAAUUUGCAGUUUUUUUGUGGUAAUUGCCAAAGCAAUUGCUAUGUUCAUUGCUUUGAUGUGUGGAUGGCAAACAAUAAAGUAUUUGACUAAUUAAUUCUUGAUUUUCAUCACCUUCUGCAAUUAUCUUUUCCAGAAAAGCGCUUUCUAGGUAUACUCUUAACAGAUGUGUUGAUAUUUGACUCACGCGCAGAGGAUGUUGAGCUUAAGCACGUCUAAUGGAAUUACUUCAUGCUUCUACAGAUGAUUGAAAGUAUGUGGAAUAAAUAGCUCUGAACUAAUCUAUAAAUGGUUAUAGUAAAAUAUGUUGCUUUUGUAAAAUGCUUGACCAAGAGGAUUAUGACACUAUGUGGAGUUAUCAUUGUCAUGUGUCUCUUUUCUAGCUCCGUUGGACCUCUAAAGCUUUAUAUUACUGAGAUGAAUAUUUAUGUUCUAAGGAAACAGAAAAAUGAUCAACGAUGGAGCUUCAGAGAUCUUGGAUGGAUUCUGUGUCUAUCUACGUAUGCCUAAAAAUGUGUUCUUUAGUGUAAACCUAUGUUGUUUGGAUUCUUCAAAAUUGUCUUAAACAAAAAUGUCUGAGGGAUAUGUUUCAGAUUUGUCAAAAGUAGUGUAUUUUUGAAAAAUCCGACACGGAUGAAAAGUGAAGAAUUUGCGGAACCAAGGUGUAAACUGAAGUACACAUCAACCAAUUUACUUAUAUAUAGAAUUUGCUAGCGUCAAUAUAUUAAGAU
Molecule: long non-coding RNA, 744 nt
Organism: Solanum tuberosum (potato)
Lineage: Eukaryota; Viridiplantae; Streptophyta; Magnoliopsida; Solanales; Solanaceae
Exons: 3
Source: RefSeq, a predicted model, not a curated record